AUUGAACGCUGGCGGCAGGCUUAACACAUGCAAGUCGAGCGGGGUGAUGGUGCUUGCACUAUCACUUAGCGGCGGACGGGUGAGUAAUGCUUAGGAAUCUGCCUAUUAGUGGGGGACAACAUCUCGAAAGGGAUGCUAAUACCGCAUACGUCCUACGGGAGAAAGCAGGGGAUCACUUGUGACCUUGCGCUAAUAGAUGAGCCUAAGUCGGAUUAGCUAGUUGGUGGGGUAAAGGCCUACCAAGGCGACGAUCUGUAGCUGGUCUGAGAGGACGACCAGCCACACUGGGACUGAGACACGGCCCAGACUCCUACGGGAGGCAGCAGUGGGGAAUUUUGGACAAUGGACGCAAGUCUGAUCCAGCCAUGCCGCGUGCGGGAAGAAGGCCUUCGGGUUGUAAACCGCUUUUGUCAGGGAAGAAAAGGCUCCUUCUAAUAUAGGGGGGCUCAUGACGGUACCUGAAGAAUAAGCACCGGCUAACUACGUGCCAGCCGCCGCAGUAA
Molecule: ribosomal RNA, 503 nt
Filed under: uncultured bacterium
Lineage: Bacteria
Description: partial 16S ribosomal RNA
Rfam family: Bacterial small subunit ribosomal RNA
Source: RNAcentral